GACGAACGCUGGCGGCGUGCUUAACACAUGCAAGUCGAACGGAAAGGCCCUGCUUUUGUGGGGUGCUCGAGUGGCGAACGGGUGAGUAACACGUGAGUAACCUGCCCUUGACUUUGGGAUAACUUCAGGAAACUGGGGCUAAUACCGGAUAGGAGCUCCUGCUGCAUGGGGGGGGUUGGAAAGUUUCGGCGGUUGGGGAUGGACUCGCGGCUUAUCAGCUUGUUGGUGGGGUAGUGGCUUACCAAGGCUUUGACGGGUAGCCGGCCUGAGAGGGUGACCGGCCACAUUGGGACUGAGAUACGGCCCAGACUCCUACGGGAGGCAGCAGUGGGGAAUAUUGCACAAUGGGCGGAAGCCUGAUGCAGCAACGCCGCGUGCGGGAUGACGGCCUUCGGGUUGUAAACCGCUUUCGCCUGUGACGAAGCGUGAGUGACGGUAACGGGUAAAGAAGCACCGGCUAACUACGUG
Molecule: ribosomal RNA, 468 nt
Filed under: uncultured bacterium
Lineage: Bacteria
Description: partial 16S ribosomal RNA
Rfam family: Bacterial small subunit ribosomal RNA
Source: RNAcentral